AGAAAAACAGCUGUGAGCUUUCUGUGGAAUGCAUCGUCUUGGGUCACUCACAGGCUGUGAAUUAAUGAAAGACGGAGAAAGAAAAGAUCGAGUAUUCGGGAUUUCUUAUCAGCGAAAACCAGAAGUGCUCCAAGUAGCUCCAGCUGAGAGACAGGACUUGUAUUCCAUUAAAGGACAAGAAGAUGGCAAGAUGGAUGUGUGACCCGCCCCCCAGCGUCACUGGGUCUCAGCUGAGCCUUUACUCCCCAACACCCGAACUUCGUGACGGAGCUCGAGCCAAGGAAACACAGAGGUUUCAAGAUUCCCUUGCCACAAAUCUCAAAGCUAUCCGGAAUGUUAGUGAAAGCCUUGUGCUUCAGUGAAAAGGAAAGCCGCAGCCUUCAAGUUGUUAUCCCCAGAGGCAGCCACUCAGGGAGCAGACGCCUGACAUGAUUCAUUGAAGAGUCUGUGCCAGGAAGACUUCGGAAAAUCCUGCCUUGCGGAACAAUUGUGACAGUAGAUUUUCAUCUGGAAAACAGAAGCCAGAUCAGCCAUCCCUGGGAAAACACUGUGCCAUGGUGCCGAUGUCCAGGCCUUCCUAGCCAAUGGAUGGAAAACGUGCCGACAGAGG
Long non-coding RNA from Fukomys damarensis (Damara mole-rat), 610 nucleotides. RefSeq lists it as uncharacterized. The transcript has 4 exons. Lineage: Eukaryota; Metazoa; Chordata; Mammalia; Rodentia; Bathyergidae. The record is from RefSeq and is a predicted model, not a curated record.